Amphiprion ocellaris (clown anemonefish) is the source of this 514-nucleotide long non-coding RNA. Lineage: Eukaryota; Metazoa; Chordata; Actinopteri; Pomacentridae. The record is from Ensembl.
UGUUUUCAUAGCAACAGCAGCAUGGCUAAACGCAAGUACGACAGCGAGUACAUUAAAUAUGGAUUUUCCUACAUCGAAGACAAAGGAGUCCAAAAGCACGCAUCUGAAUAAACUUUUCGAGCGGUUUAGCGACUACUUUCCCGAUAAACAACCCGAGGACGACUGGGUGCGCGACCCGUUUGGAAUAAACAUGGAAAGCAUCACGUUGCCUAGCAGCGAUUAAUGUCAGCUGGUGGAGCUAUCAUGUGACCGCACUCUCAGAAAGAAAUUCACAGAGGUUUCCCAGAGACUAUGGGUUGAGGAGGAAUUGGAAAUUUGUCGGCUUAGACCUGGUGUCAUUCCAUCAGUGUUAAACUUCUCGGCUCAUCUUGGAAGAGUACGUGCCAGAAAGACCACGACCAAGCAGCCUUGAGAUCUUAGACAGCGUCUCCCUCAGUUGCUGUAAAAAGUCAGUCCAUCCUGGCCGACUUCAACACCUCUUCAUGACAACUUGUUCUGCCUCUGACCUGGUGGA